AUGAGCCAGAAAGUGUGGAGGUCUGGAAGGAGUCCCCACCGGUUCCCUCCUGCUCAAGCCCCAAGGAGGGCGAAGGAGCCCAGUGGAUGCGCCCCCCACGGAUGCUGCCCAGCCUGUGGGACCCGUGGAACUGCAGUGGCGUUGCCAGUGCCUCUGUUUCUGCAUCUGUACCAUGGGCCCGGUCUGUGCCACCGCUUCACAGGGGAGAAGAUCAAGCGAUACCCUCCACACCGUACUGUGAUUCCAUUUCCCUCCCCUAUGAUGGUGAGAUACGCUACAUAUCAGGGUUUCCUUUUCUGCUUUGGCUGCCAGGAAGCUCAAGGCUGAAGAGGCCUAGAUUUGUAAUAUAAUUACCGUCCCG
This 361-nucleotide long non-coding RNA is filed under the name Fukomys damarensis (Damara mole-rat). RNAcentral's name for it is "lncRNA (ENSFDAG00000032784.1)". Lineage: Eukaryota; Metazoa; Chordata; Mammalia; Rodentia; Bathyergidae. The record is from RNAcentral.